This is an RNA transcript of Chelonia mydas (Green sea turtle), 5352 nucleotides long. It is a transcript of the gene named nucleotide binding protein like, with no coding region annotated. Lineage: Eukaryota; Metazoa; Chordata; Testudines; Cheloniidae. The record is from RefSeq and is a predicted model, not a curated record. The transcript is spliced from 12 exons.
CGUCCUGAAGGAGCGGAGCGCUUUACACAGGGCCCGGCAGGGUGCGGGGCAGGCAGACGCCUCCCUAGUGCUGGGCUCCGGCCCCACAGGGGAAGGGGGCGGGAUGCUGAGGCGGGGUUAAGCGACGCCAUCUCAGCGCGCCCGGGGCAGUAGAGGAGAUGGUGGCCCAAGCGUGGAGCCGGGCGCUAUGCGCCAGGCUCUGCCCUGGGGCUCCGCGCCGCCUGCAUGGCUGGGGCAGCGCCGCCUUCUCCUCUCGCUCGCCGUCAUCAAGCACCAAUGAUGGGUUUCUAAAAGAAAAACGUGCCCAAAUCAUGUCUCGAGGACUUCCAAAACAAAAGCCAAUAGAAGGAGUUAAGCAGGUAUUGGUUUUUGCUUCUGGGAAAGGGGGAGUUGGAAAGUCAACAACAGCAGUAAACAUAGCCCUUGCAUUAGCAGCACAUGAUUCGACAAAAGGAGUUGGUUUGCUUGAUGCAGAUGUAUAUGGCCCUUCAAUUCCAAAGAUGAUGAAUUUGAAAGGAAAUCCAGAAUUAUCACCAAAAAACUUAAUGAGACCCCUUAAGAACUAUGGCAUUGCAUGUAUGUCGAUGGGUUUCUUGGUAGAAGAGACUGCACCAGUUGUGUGGAGAGGACUCAUGGUAAUGUCAGCUAUAGAGAAAUUGUUGAGGCAGGUAGACUGGGGUCAACUGGACUACUUAGUAAUUGAUAUGCCACCUGGAACAGGAGACGUACAGUUAUCAGUCUCACAGAAUGUUCCAGUUACAGGGGCAGUGAUUGUUUCCACUCCACAAGACAUUGCUUUACUGGAUGCACGCAAAGGAGCUGAGAUGUUUCGAAAAGUCCAUGUGCCUGUUUUGGGACUUGUCCAAAAUAUGAGUGUUUUCCAAUGCCCGAAGUGUAAACAUGAGACCCAUAUUUUUGGAGCUGAUGGUGUGAGAGAUCUAGCAAAAACCCUUGGACUUGAUGUUUUAGGAGACAUUCCAUUGCAUGUUAAUAUAAGAGAGACAUGUGAUGCCGGCCAGCCUAUUGUCAUCUCACAGCCUCAAAGUGACACAUGCCUUCAGGGUUAGUGAGGGUGUGCUGGUGUCAAGGGGACAGCUCCAGGAGUGCCCUCGAAUUGGUAGAUGUGCAACUUAAACAAGGAGCAGUGCCUUUGAAAAUUAAGGCCAAAGCCUAUCUAAGGAUAGCUACUGAAAUAGUAAGGAGAUUGCCAACUCCUCCAGCAUGAUGUGCUCAUGUCGGGUACCUGUGAUCAGAACUUAACAAUAAAGUGAUUCGAUGGUGUAAGCAAUGGUGGAACAAGCAGAAGUACAUAACUCUAUGGAUUAUCUAUUGUAUUUGUAAAAAAAUUUUGAAGUUUAGGAAACAAAGUUUGGAAAUAUUGUUAUUUUAUAUUUGUCAUGACAUCAUUUGGUUACAUUCAAAUGGAUUGAAGGAUUCAGAAGGAAAAUGGAUGGUACCUGACAUUUUUAUAUGGUUGUCCGCUGCUGAUUUUUAAUAUCCUUGAACAACAAGGACAAAGUGCAUCAUUCAGCAAUGGAGUUUCCCUCAGUUUUAAUGUGAAGGUUCAGCCUGUGGAAACUGCAGUCCCAGAAUACAAUGUGCCAUCUUCAUCCAAGCAGAAAGAUUCAAAAGUGGACCAUGGCAUGUUGAGGAUUAUAGUCCCUGGCUCACAACUGUAUAAAAGAUGAGGGCAUCUGCAAUUUCCCCAAUUUAUGUACAUUUUUAUUCAGACCUCGGUGCUCUUGUUAAAUUGCCAACAUGGUCUUAAAUUGGGCAAAGCAUCAAAAACUUAAUUAGCAAAUGAAAAAACUAUGUAAUUACCAUAUGUUUGUGUACAUUUACACUUAAGCCUCAAAAACAAUAUGAUCUGCGUAUUCUGUAAUGACUUUUCCUAAUGGUUCAAGAGCAAAUUUCUUCCCUAUUGGAUUAUAUUGGGUUAUGAGGUAAUUUCCUACUUACGGGAUAAUGGACUAUAUGACCUGUAGGCAAAUUACUUGCCUGCUUUGUGUUAUGUUGAACCCAGAUAGAAAACUAGGUAACAGCAAGGUCUUCAUUAUAAGACAUAUCAUACCUGAGUUCAACUUGGCAAGGGAAAUAAAUGACAAAAAUUAAUUAAUUUCAUGACUGCAUACAGGCAUGUGUUCCCAAAUCAAAGUAACAAUGCAGGAUCUGAAUGUAUAAACUAAAGAUGUAACUAAAAAAGCAAACUAAGAUAUGAUCUUCAGACUGCAAGACCUCUUUUGUUUUUUAUUGUCUUGUGUCCUAUGAUCCUUAUUUUUCUGUUGGUAUAAUUUCUAUGGAUGAAAAAACAUGAUUCUGUGGCACAGGCUUCCAUUUACAAUUAGAAGUUUGAAUUUAUAGUCAAGACUAUUUCACACCAUUCAAAUAUGUAUCCUUAUGGGAGUUUUGCCCUUGACUUCACUAGGGCCAGGAUUUCACCCUUUGUUUAUACCAUUGUUCCUGUUGCUUUUCUCCUCUUGAAAUAAUAUGACAUAAGAUAGAAUUUGGCAUUCUUUGAGCCUGGGCACACUUAAAACAUAUGCACUGAAAGUGAAAUUUAAAAUUUUGUUUCAAAUUAUUAAUUGAAUCUCAGACUUGAGUGGAGUUUUGUAAAUAUGAAAAAUAAUUUAUUUUAAGAUGACUGAUUUUUUUUUUAACUUAGCUUUCAUUUAUGUACCUGGAAAAAAGUGCAGAGAAGUAAAAUUGCACUUCAGCUGUUUCAGUAGCCAUGUUAUUUCCAGCUUCUGGAUUGUACCUUUAUUCAAACACAAGUAUCCAAUCAUUUGCAAUUGUCUAGUGAUAUAUUUUACAAAAAUUAAACACUUAAUGGUGUGCUUCCUCUUGUCACUUCAUUGAUAACUAUUUGCCUUGUUUGUUCGGUAAGAAGUUUUAUCUCGAUAUAGGCAUUUCUGUUGCACACACCAGAGUAAUAUUAAUUUAUCUGCAUAUAUGUAUGUCUGUAAACAUUUGUAGGGCUCUCAUCACCAUAGUACUGUAGGACAUGUUAACUCUCAGUGCAAAGCUCGGAUUUCCAAAGUUGUUUUUAAAAUUUAAAAAAGUCUGUGUCAGGCUUUCCAAAUUUAGUAUUUAUUAUCUUCACUCUUGAUGUUAGCAAGUUUGUGAGGGGCUACUGACAUUUCCAGUUCAGGAUUAGAACUCUCAGAAUUCAAUUAGAGGACUGUUUUUUGGGGUUUUUUUUAUGUUUCUCCACAUCCUUGGUUGGUGUGAGGGAUCAAGUUAGGUUUUUAUAAUGUUCUUUUUAAAAAAAACAAAAAAACCCAAAGCACUAGGUUUUACUCUUUCUAGUCCUGCUGCUAUUAAGCUACCUUUAAUACCUUUCGGUUAACUACCAGUGUCCUGGGAAAACUUGUAAACAUAGUUUCCGAAAGAAUAUGCAAAAUGCUUUUUAAUUAAAUGCCUUCAUGGAAGGAUUGCCCUGUGCAUAUUUGUAAAUAAUGUUUAAUGCUCACUGUAGUGGAUGAAAUUAGAUUUUUUUAAUAAAGAGUGGUAUCAACCGUUUAAAACACUUAUAAUACAUAAAGGGCCUUGCGAGUAUGCCACUGAAAGAAUUAUCCUUGCAUAUAAGGGCAACCAUAUUCAAAACAAAACUAAAAUCAAAACAAAUUAGCAUUACAUGCCUUGUCAUCAGUAAUGGAUAAAAGAAUCUUCCUCCUAUUACUGUUUCUGCCAAUGCAUGUAAGUCUGUUGAUGCACCACAACUAUGGCUUUUACAUUAUAUAGAUACUUGCACUUCUUUUUGAUUAUACAGUGCAUAUUGAUGAUUAGUUUUGAAUGCUGCUGAAAUGACUGUAGAGCCAUGCUAAUUCACACAAAUGACUGGAAUUAAUUACUGGAUGACUUAAUUUUGAGUAUUAGUGAAAGGCACUACAUAGGAAAGGCAAUAUUUGACUAUAAAACAAUACAUAUGGUAAGUUAAAGACAUAACAUCAUAAAAUAUAUUUUGUUUGCUAUCCUCACCACAGUAAUUUACUUUCAACUACGGGAUUUGAUAUUUCAUAAGCAGUGGAACAGGUUUCUAGGGAGGUUGUGGAAUCCCUGUGUCACAAGCAUACCCUGCCAAAGACCCUGCUGCCUUGUGGUGCCCUGCUUUAUGGAGCUCUCCUUUUUAAGAAGAAAAGUGCUGUGAGUUCAGACCUCCAGGGGUUGCCUAGAGAGGCCUCCCAGGAUCAGCUGCACGCGGAAAUAGUGAGACUUGGUCCUCUAGUGUCUAGAAGGGCCAAGAGCAGACAGAGGCCAAUUAGGGCCCAGCAUGCCAGUAAAAAAUGUCUGGCUGCUUCUGUCAGGAGCUAGGGAUGGGUGAAUCUAGGACAGGGGAAGAUGGAUCUUCUUUCUGUCUUAACCCAAAAAGCCUGGUUUGGUAUGAGCCUAAUUCUAAAUGUACCUUUAUGUUGUUUAAGUGUAAAAGACUUUUAUUUCCUUUGUGGAGCAUAAGGCCCAGGUGUGCCAUCCUGAGUUGAAGGCAUAGGCGCUGACUUCCUCAGUUCCGGGGGAUGCUUGAUCCUUGCCCCCACUUCACCCCUUCCCCCAGGGCCCCACUCCGCCUCUUCCUGUUCCACCUCAGGCCCUGCCUGCCUCUUCCCACCCCAGCCUUCCCCAGGCUCUGCCUCCACUUCACCGCUUCUCCCAAGCCCCCACACCUACCCCACCUCUUCCCGCCCCUGCUCUGCCCCAUUCCACCCCCUCCCCCCACCUCUUCCUGCCCCCACUCUUCCCCCUACCCCCCCCCCCCCAGCACCUCCUGCACGCUGCUUGAACAGCUGAUCGCAGUGGGACGGUGGGGGAGGAGCUGAUCGGCAUGGCCACUGGUGGGCAGGGGGCGCUGAUCUGCGGGGCUGCCUGUGGGGGCUGAGCACCUACUGUUUUUUUUCCAUGGGCGCUCCAGACCUGGAGUGCCUACGGAGUCCACGCCUAUGGUUGAAGGUUAAUUUGAUUGCUGUAAAAUAUGGUGAGUUUGCUUUGCAAGAUGCUCCAUUGGCUCAGCCUGUAUGAUUACCUGCCUUGUGGACAGGUGCUGUAUGAGUGCAUUUGGUGCAAGGAGCUCAUAGCCUUCAGAGACCUAUAGGGACUGGGAGUGGCUGGCUCGCUACAAAAACAAUUUUCCCUCUCUUAGUAUUGACACCACCUCAUCAGGUAUUGGGAGUGGACCACAUCCACCCUGACUGAAUUGGCCUUCAACAUUGGUUCUCCACUUGUAAAGUCACUUCCUUUUCUUCAUGUGUCAAUAUGUAUUUAUUCCUGUAUCUGUAAUUUUCACGCCAUGCAUCUAAAGAAGCGGGUUUUUUACCGAUGAAAGCUUAUGCCCAAAUAAAUCUGUUAGUCUUUAAGGUGCCA